This 253-nucleotide ribosomal RNA is filed under the name uncultured bacterium. Its description in RNAcentral is "partial 16S ribosomal RNA". It matches the Rfam family "Bacterial small subunit ribosomal RNA", at positions 524 to 776 of the family's 1533-position model. The record is from RNAcentral.
UACAGAGGGUGCAAGCGUUAAUCGGAGUUACUGGGCGUAAAGGGCGCGUAGGCGGUUUUGUAAGUUGGAUGUGAAAUCCCUGGGCUUAACCUAGGAACUGCAUUCAAUACUGUAAGACUAGAAUAUUGUAGAGGGUAGUGGAAUUUCCGGUGUAGCGGUGAAAUGCGUAGAGAUCGGAAGGAACACCAGUGGCGAAGGCGGCUACCUGGACAAAUAUUGACGCUGAGGCGCGAAAGCGUGGGGAGCAAACAGG